ACAAACUGAGCGACUAGUCUUCUCACCUGCCUACAUCCCCCAGAAUGCUGUGCGGUUCUGGAUCAGACUCUAGAUGUAAGCAGUGAAAAAAGACCUAAACAAAUCCAUCCAUCCAUAUUGAAAUAAAAAGGCCCAGGUGGUAAUUAGAUCCCCAGUGAUGAGGAAGGGAAGGACGGAGUCCCACAGAGGGCUGUGUGGAUGAAACUGCGUCCGUCCUCCCCACUUGAACGACUCCCUGAAAGCCUUGAGUUAUAUUCCUGCAAUUAGCUAAGUAUCCACAGAGGCUCCCUGUCCCUGUCGACUUUCCAGCUCAUCCCUGUAGAUACGACGCAACAACGAAAAACAGCAACAAGACGAACCAACAGGGGGAAAAGAAAAAUCAACGCAUCAGAAAACAAACUUUACACAAUGACCCCGCUUCUUGUUCGUAACUUUUUUUUCCCCUUACACCUUGCAUCUUUUCUUCUGUCACGAGCAUAAAGGGUAACGGCAAUCCAUCCCUUUUUUCCUCUUCCAAGGAUAAUGAUUUACAAAAUGCCUCUCAUCAAAGAAUUCAU
Molecule: non-coding RNA, 557 nt
Organism: Poecilia reticulata (guppy)
Lineage: Eukaryota; Metazoa; Chordata; Actinopteri; Cyprinodontiformes; Poeciliidae
Source: RefSeq, a predicted model, not a curated record